This 3168-nucleotide ribosomal RNA is filed under the name Triticum aestivum (bread wheat). RNAcentral's name for it is "partial small subunit ribosomal RNA". The record is from RNAcentral. Lineage: Eukaryota; Viridiplantae; Streptophyta; Magnoliopsida; Poales; Poaceae.
AUGUCGCCCGCCGCGCCCGUCGCCGGCGCCGACGAGACGAGGCGCCUCGCGCGCGAGACGGCGCGCGUGCUCGACGAGUGCCGCGCCUCCCUCGCCUUGCACCCGCGCAAGCUCCGGGAGCUCUCGGCGCUCCGCGCCUCCUCCGCGUCCGGCGGCCGCUUCCUCCCGGCCUUCUGCCACGCCCUCACCCCGCUCUUCGAGGUCCUCCGCCGCUCCCCCGCCUCCGACCGCGUCGCGCGCUUCGCGGCGGCCUUCGCCUCCUCCUCCGCCUCCGUGGCCGCGGACGGCACCGGGUUCCUCGAGGGUUUCCUCCGUUUCCUCCUCGUCGCCUCCGCCGCGGCGCACCGGCCCGCGCGCUUCCGCUCCUGCCAAAUCAUAUCUGAGAUUAUUAUGCAAUUACCGGAAGAUGCCGAGGUGAGUGAUGAGAUUUGGGAUGAAGUGAUUGAUGCCAUGAAGAUUCGGGUUCAGGAUAAAAUCCCUGCAAUUCGAGUUUUCGCUGUUCGUGCAUUGUCUCGUUUUGCGAUUGAUGAAGAGGAUGGUGGCAUCAUCGAUAUUUUUCUUGAGACCCUAGAAAAAGAACAAAACGCUGAUGUCCGAAAGACAAUUAUUUUGUCUCUUCCACCAUCAAGUGCUACACUGGAGUCAAUCAUUGAAUCAACGAUUGAUACCAGUGAACCAGUUCGGAAGGCAGCAUAUUCUGUGCUUUCAACUAAAUUUCCCCUCCAAAGUCUUAGCAUCAAGCAGAGGACAACUCUCCUUCACAGAGGCCUCUCAGAUAGGUCUACAUCUGUGAAAAAUGAAUGCUUGAGGAUGCUGAAGGAGGAGUGGCUUGUAAAGCAUUGUGGUGGAGAUGUCAUCGCCCUUCUCAGGUUUCUUGAUGUCGAGACUUAUGAGUUAGUUGGAGAAUCCGUGAUGGGGGUGCUUCUGAAGGAUGGUUCUGUGCGAGUUCAAGAUGGGCAAACUAUCAGGCAGUACUUUACCGCAAAUACUGAGGAUGCUGAACAAGUUUCCAGUAUCAAGCUCAUGGAGGCUGAGGUUGCUCUUUACUGGAAAGUCAUGUGCAUGCACUUGCAGGCUGAAGCUCAGGUCAAAGGCUCGGAGGCUGCAACAACUACGGGGACCGAGGCAGCAGUAUAUGCUUCUGAGGCGUCGGAUAAAAAUGAUCUUCUUGAUGGUGUCCUUCCUAGCACAGUUGCCGAGUUUGUUGAUUUGGUAAAAGCACACCUUUCAGCUGGACCAAAUUAUCACUUCGCGUCACGGCAACUAUUAUUGCUUGGUGGAAUGCUUGACUUUUCCGAUAGCAUGAACAGGAAAGUUGCAAGUUCAUUUCUGCAUGAGCUUCUGAAUAGACCACUUGAACAUGAAGUAGAUGAAGAUGGAAACCAGAUCGCCAUUGGUGAUGGUGUCAGUCUUGGAGGGGACCUGCAGUGGGCCAAAGCAGUCUCAGAAUUGGCUAAAAAGGUUCAUGCUUCUAUUGGUGAAUUUGAAAUGGUGAUUGCCACUGUCGUUGAAGAACUGGCUAGACCAUGCAGGGAGAGAACUGCUGAUUUCAUGCAAUGGAUGCACUGUCUGGCGGUGACAGGUCUUCUUCUAGAGAAUACUUCAACCUUACGAAGCCUGGAAGGCACAGCAAUCAGACCGUCUGAAGUGCUUCAGUCAUUGUUGCUUCCUGCAGCAAAGCAGAAACAUGUUGACGUACAGAGGGCUGCUUUAAGAUGCCUUUGUCUUUUUGGCUUGUUAGAGAAUAAACCAAGUACAGAGUUGGUGAAGCAGCUGCGUUUAUCAUUCAUCAAUGGGCCUGACUUGGUUAGUGCCAUGGCAUCCAAGGCCUUGAUUGACCUUCUGACUUGGCAUGGUCCACAAGAAUUAGAUCAAGCCAUUGGAACUGAACCAUCUGAUGGUAACUAUGAGAAGACUCAGUUUGCUCCUGUGGACAUCUCUGACUUGAAUGACGAUGAUCUAAACGUUGGGGUUCUUAGUAUUCUGUUUUCUGGAUUUCAUAAAGAUGACUGGGAGUUCAGCCCAGAGGGUGAUAACCAUGAUAAUGUCCCGACCAUUCUUGGUGAAGGUUUUGCAAAAAUUCUUCUCUUGAGUGAGAACUAUCCAAGCAUAUCCGCAGACUUGCAUCCUGUUAUACUAGCUCAACUUGUAAGAUUAUAUUUCCUGGAGGAAUCAAAAGAACUCGGAAGAUUGAAACAGUGUCUGUCUGUCUUCUUUCUCCAUUAUCCAUCCCUUUCAGAGAAGCACAAGAGAUGUGUCUCAAGUGCAUUUGUACCACUCAUGAGAGCCAUGUGGCCAGGUAUCCAUGGUAAUGCUGGGGGUAGUGGACCUGUUGUUUCGAAAAAGCGUAAACAGGCAGUCCAGGCUGCCCGUUUUAUGGUUCAAAUGGUACAAAGUCCAUUGUUUUCAACGGAAACAGCAGAGCAAGCGUGUAUGAGUCCUGAAAGCCUUUCCAGUUCACCAGGUCUGAUUGUCAAUUAUGACAUCAGUGAGGAAGGACUUGCCAUCCGUAUUGCAGUGGAGGUAGGAAAUAGCCAAGACAAGAAGAGCGCGCCUAUGAAAGCAUAUGCAUUGGCUUUGUGCAAGGUUGCUGUGCUUCUAAGAUUCCGGCAAUCAGAACAGAAGGCCAUCAAGUGCAUGAGAGGAAUGGUGAACACAUUGGCUGCUUCAGCGGCUUCUGACAAGGACCUUAUGAAGGAGCUCGCUCAAAUGGCAUCAAGGCUCAAGUCACUAGAUGAAUCCCCGGAAGAGGAACUGCCACAAGAUCAAGCCGACGCCAUAUUCAAGCAACUAGGAUUGGCUGGUGGCGUCAAGUUUGACGCUGCCAAUACAGUGGUGCCACCAACGCCAGCACCUCCUCGGUCAGUCCGGGCUCCUCCAGCCAGGAGAAGAGCAAGGCGGGCGGCAUCAUCUAGCGAUGACAGUGAAGCUGAAGCGGAAGCAGAGAGCUUGGAUGUAACAUCGGUGAGCCAGGUCCCUGCCACUCCCAGCAUGACCACGGCACGCGCUCAGAGAGCAAGCAAGACUGCGGCCCUGAGCAAGUUCAAGUCUGAUGUGAAGCCUUCUCUCGAGGCUGCUUCUGACAGUGAACAAGACGAGAUGUCCGGACUGACAACUGAUGAGGAUCCGUCUGAUGAUUCCGACGACCCCGAUGAGGAGUCGUCUUAA